UGUUCAGGAUAUUUAUUAAAUACAUAUUCUUUAUCUUUUCUACAUUUCACCUGUGCUCUAGCUUGGUUCCUUGUGAUAAAACUGGCAUUGUAUACUGAAUAUUGUUGGCUCUGUGACAGAUUGCUUGUUAUAUUUCCAGAUUCUUCCGUGCUUGAUGUCCUUCUGCAUCCCAGAGUCUGAGCAAACCUCCUGUCCAACAACAUCUCCAAAGCACACUGAACCAUACGGCUAGCAGCCUCGCAUGUGAAGACUUCAGAAGAUGCCAGACCUCACAAAGAUUUCAGAUGAUGGCAACUAUAGAUGAACAUGCAAAGCUGCUAAAUAAUCCUUAUAUUGUAAUCAUUGCCCUAAAAGGAAGGAUCUUAUCAGCAAAUCUACUUCACAGCACAUCAGUGAAAACAGUUGACCGUUACAGACGGG
Cyprinus carpio (common carp) is the source of this 420-nucleotide long non-coding RNA. RefSeq lists it as uncharacterized. The record is from RefSeq and is a predicted model, not a curated record. The transcript is spliced from 3 exons. Lineage: Eukaryota; Metazoa; Chordata; Actinopteri; Cypriniformes; Cyprinidae.